AUCGCUUCUCGGCCUUUUGGCUAAGAUCAAAGUGUAGUAUCUGUUCUUAUCAGCUUAAUAUCUGAUACACUGUCCAUUGGACAGUACGAUAUUAAACUAAUUUUUGAACUGAGGCUUGCGGUCUGGAAUUUAUUCCGCCCUCGCCACGGGUCGGCCCGCUAUUGCACUACUUGCGGGAUUCGGCCCACUCCCA
Molecule: small nuclear RNA, 193 nt
Organism: Uloborus diversus
Lineage: Eukaryota; Metazoa; Arthropoda; Arachnida; Araneae; Uloboridae
Product: U2 spliceosomal RNA
Exons: 1
Source: RefSeq, a predicted model, not a curated record